GUCAGAGGGGGGUAGAAUNCCACGUGUAGCAGUGAAAUGCGUAGAGAUGUGGAGGAAUACCGAUGGCGAAGGCAGCCCCCUGGGAUAAUACUGACGUUCAUGCUNGAAAGCGUGGGUAGCAAACAGGAUUAGAUACCCUGGUAGUCCACGCCCUAAACGAUGUCGAUUAGCUGUUGGGCAACUUGAUUGCUUAGUAGCGUAGCUAACGCGUGAAAUCGACCGCCUGGGGAGUACGGUCGCAAGAUUAAAACUCAAAGGAAUUGACGGGGACCCGCACAAGCGGUGGAUGAUGUGGAUUAAUUCGAUGCAACGCGAAGAACCUUACCUGGUCUUGACAUGUACGGAAUCUUUCAGAGACGGAAGAGUGCCUUCGGGAGCCGUAACACAGGUGCUGCAUGGCUGUCGUCAGCUCGUGUCGUGAGAUGUUGGGUUAAGUCCCGCAACGAGCGCAACCCUUGUCAUUAGUUGCCAUCAUUAAGUUGGGCACUCUAAUGAGACUGCCGGUGACAAACCGGAGGAAGGUGGGGAUGACGUCAAGUCCUCAUGGCCCUUAUGACCAGGGCUUCACACGUCAUACAAUGGUCGGUACAAAGGGUAGCCAAGCCGCGAGGUGGAGCCAAUCUCAGAAAACCGAUCGUAGUCCGGAUUGCACUCUGCAACUCGAGU
RNAcentral lists this ribosomal RNA (666 nucleotides) under uncultured bacterium. Its description in RNAcentral is "bacterial SSU rRNA". It matches the Rfam family "Bacterial small subunit ribosomal RNA", at positions 650 to 1317 of the family's 1533-position model. The record is from RNAcentral.